CUCCUAUUUUAAUCAAAAUCUUCUAUGCAAAGUAUGACUUUUCACUUUUCUUCUUCUCCUAUUUAAAAUCAGCUACUAACCCUCUCGGUCUUGCAUCCCUUCCCUUCUCAAACAAUACCAUCAAUACAUUGUACAGUAAGUCCAUUCCAUUCCUCACUCUUCCUUUUUUUUUUGCCACCAAUCCUCUAUGUAGCAUGGCUCUAGAGAUC
Molecule: long non-coding RNA, 209 nt
Filed under: Elaeis guineensis (African oil palm)
Lineage: Eukaryota; Viridiplantae; Streptophyta; Magnoliopsida; Arecales; Arecaceae
Description: long non-coding RNA (EGUI_LNC041254)
Source: RNAcentral